RNAcentral lists this transfer RNA (61 nucleotides) under Cucujoidea sp. 1 KM-2017. RNAcentral's name for it is "tRNA-Leu". The record is from RNAcentral. Lineage: Eukaryota; Metazoa; Arthropoda; Insecta; Coleoptera.
AUUAUUUUGGCAGAUUAGUGCGUUAGAUUUAGGAUCUUUUUAUGUAUUUUUACAAAUAAUA